AGCCGGUGCUGCCUCCACACCUCUAACACACCAGGCGCGGUCUGCUUUACUCCCACCGGAGUGCUCUGCAGCCUUCCCAGCCAUCUCCAAGUUGCUUCCCAAAACUUCUGGGCCUCCAGCAAGAAGGAGACUAUUCUUGCACGAUCUACCCCCACGGACAAAGCAUUUUGACGGAACAGCUCUUCCAAACACCUCUUCUGGAAAGCAGCCCAGACAUAGAAGAUGCUGAGGGUCUGGUGAGGAGGCAGAAAGCUCCUGCUGCAUCAGUGUCACAGAGAAGGCUCCAGAGACUGUACUGGUGCCCACAGUGCAAGACCUGGGUCCGAGGGAAGGCCCACAGUAGCCCUGCCUCGGGCUCCCUGCUGCCUGGAGCCCAGCCCACACCACCCAACCACCUCC
RNAcentral lists this long non-coding RNA (399 nucleotides) under Fukomys damarensis (Damara mole-rat). Its description in RNAcentral is "lncRNA (ENSFDAG00000031192.1)". The record is from RNAcentral. Lineage: Eukaryota; Metazoa; Chordata; Mammalia; Rodentia; Bathyergidae.